Molecule: ribosomal RNA, 551 nt
Filed under: uncultured bacterium
Lineage: Bacteria
Description: partial 16S ribosomal RNA
Rfam family: Bacterial small subunit ribosomal RNA
Source: RNAcentral
UGGGGAAUAUUGCACAAUGGGCGAAAGCCUGAUGCAGCAACGCCGCGUGAGUGAUGAAGGCCUUCGGGUUGUAAAGCUCUGUCUUUUGGGACGAUAAUGACGGUACCAAAGGAGGAAGCCACGGCUAACUACGUGCCAGCAGCCGCGGUAAUACGUAGGUGGCAAGCGUUGUCCGGAUUUACUGGGCGUAAAGGAUGCGUAGGCGGAUUUUUAAGUGAGAUGUGAAAUACCCGGGCUUAACUUGGGUGCUGCAUUUCAAACUGGGAAUCUAGAGUGCGGGAGAGGAGAAUGGAAUUCCUAGUGUAGCGGUGAAAUGCGUAGAGAUUAGGAAGAACACCAGUGGCGAAAGGCGAUUCUCUGGACCGUAACUGACGCUGAGGCAUGAAAGCGUGGGUAGCAAACAGGAUUAGAUACCCUGGUAGUCCACGCCGUAAACGAUGAGUACUAGGUGUAGGAGGUAUCGACCCCUUCUGUGCCGCAGUUAACACAAUCAAGUACUCCGCCUGGGAAGUACGAUCGCAAGAUUAAAACUCAAAGGAAUUGACGGGGUC